This 621-nucleotide ribosomal RNA is filed under the name Microbotryum silenes-inflatae. RNAcentral describes it as "LSU rRNA". It matches the Rfam family "Eukaryotic large subunit ribosomal RNA", at positions 38 to 656 of the family's 3401-position model. Lineage: Eukaryota; Fungi; Basidiomycota; Microbotryomycetes; Microbotryales; Microbotryaceae. The record is from RNAcentral.
GCAUAUCAAUAAGCGGAGGAAAAGAAACUAACCAGGAUUCCCCUAGUAACGGCGAGUGAAGCGGGAAAAGCUCAAAUUUGUAAUCUGGCGCCUUUGGCGUCCGAGUUGUAAUCUCGAGAAGUAUUUUCCGCGCUGGACCGCACAUAAGUCUGUUGGAAUACAGCGUCAUAGUGGUGAGAACCCCGUAUAGGGUGCGGAUGCCCAGUGCUUUGUGAUCUACUUUCGAAGAGUCGAGUUGUUUGGGAAUGCAGCUCAAAUUGGGUGGUAAAUUCCAUCUAAAGCUAAAUAUUGGCGAGAGACCGAUAGCGAACAAGUACCGUGAGGGAAAGAUGAAAAGCACUUUGGAAAGAGAGUUAACAGUACGUGAAAUUGUUGGAAGGGAAACGCUUGAAGUCAGACUUGCAUUUUGGAGUUCAGCCGCAAGGUGUAUUCUUCAAUUCGCAGGCCAGCAUCAGUUUUUGGGGGUGGAAAAGCGUGGUUUGAAGGUAGCAGCUUCGGCUGUGUUAUAGCUUUCCACUGGAUUCACUUUUGGGGACUGAGGAACGCAGUACGCUUUUUGCAAGAUCUUCGGAUCUUUCGUACUUAGGAUGCUGGUGGAAUGGCUUUAAACGACCCGUCUUG